GGAGGUGGACACUCAGUGGUAGAGUACCUACUUAGCAUGCAUAAGGUCCUGGGUUCAAUCCCCAGUACCUCCU
This 73-nucleotide transfer RNA is filed under the name Camelus bactrianus (Bactrian camel). It matches the Rfam family "tRNA". Rfam says of the family: Transfer RNA (tRNA) molecules are approximately 80 nucleotides in length. Their secondary structure includes four short double-helical elements and three loops (D, anti-codon, and T loops). Further hydrogen bonds mediate the characteristic L-shaped molecular structure. tRNAs have two regions of fundamental functional importance: the anti-codon, which is responsible for specific mRNA codon recognition, and the 3' end, to which the tRNAs corresponding amino acid is attached (by aminoacyl-tRNA synthetases). tRNAs cope with the degeneracy of the genetic code in two manners: having more than one tRNA (with a specific anti-codon) for a particular amino acid; and 'wobble' base-pairing, i.e. permitting non-standard base-pairing at the 3rd anti-codon position. Lineage: Eukaryota; Metazoa; Chordata; Mammalia; Artiodactyla; Camelidae. RNAcentral also lists the same sequence under 2 other names. The record is from Rfam by way of RNAcentral.